This 254-nucleotide ribosomal RNA is filed under the name uncultured bacterium. Its description in RNAcentral is "partial 16S ribosomal RNA". It matches the Rfam family "Bacterial small subunit ribosomal RNA", at positions 524 to 776 of the family's 1533-position model. The record is from RNAcentral.
UACGAAGGGGGCUAGCGUUGCUCGGAAUCACUGGGCGUAAAGCGCACGUAGGCGGAUUGUUAAGUCAGGGGUGAAAUCCUGGAGCUCAACUCCAGAACUGCCUUUGAUACUGGCGAUCUCGAGUCCGGAAGAGGUGAGUGGAACUGCGAGUGUAGAGGUGAAAUUCGUAGAUAUUCGCAAGAACACCAGUGGCGAAGGCGGACUCACUGGCCCGGUACUGACGCUGAGGUGCGAAAGCGUGGGGAGCAAACAGG